AAAUUGUAUGUUUAGCUUUCUUCAUUUUUAUUUUUUAAAAAAAAUAAUUAAAUUUUUAGUAUAAAUUAGAAAUAAUUAAAUGAGCUAUAUAUAUAACUGUAAAGGUUUAAUUUUAAUUUUUUAUAAGAAAUUUUUGUUUAAUGUACCUUUUGUAUCAGGGUUGUCUAAUUAAAAAAUAUGUAUUUAUUUUUCCCGAAAUUUAGAGAUAUAUAUGAAUUUGAUUUUUAAAGUUUCAUAUUUACAAUUAAAAUUUAUAUAGAUGUUAUAUGCUUUUCAAUCUAGUUAUAUCUGGUUAUCUUUUAAUUAAUUUAAUUAUAAAUCCAUAUGAUAAAAAUAAUAUAUAUAAUUUUUUUAUAAGGAUUUAAUUUAUGGGGGGAUAAGCUCCUAUAUUUUUUUAAAAUUUUUAAUUUAUUUCAGUUAAAUUAGGAUUGAUAUUUUUCUUUUAUAUAUUUUUAUAAAAAAUACUGUUUAUAAAAUAAUUUUAUUUAAUUUAAAAUUUUAAAGGAUUUUUAAAAUAAAUUUUAGUUUUUAAGUGAAAAUGGGUGAAUUAGUAAAAUUGUAUAUUUAAUUUAAUAAUUCAGCAAAAAUUAUUCUCGACUGUUUAUUAAAAACUUUUUCUUUUGUUUAAAUAAAAGAUAUGGCCUGCUCAAUGAUUAUUUAAAUAGCUGCGGUUUAAUCGUGCUAAGGUAGCAUAAUAAUUUGUCCUUUAAUUAAGGUCUAGUAUGAAAGGUUGAACGAGGAAUAGACUUUUUUAAUUAAAUUAUUUUAAAUUUUAAUUGUUGGUUAAAAUGCCAAUAUAAAUUUAUGGGACGAUAAGACCCUAUAGAAUUUUAUUUAAAUAAGACUCUUAUGAAAAUAAUUUUUAAUUGUUUUAUUUAAAUUUGGUUGGGGUGAUUGUUAGAAUUUAUUAACUUUAACUUUUAUAAUUCAUAAAUUAAUGAUUAUUGACCCUAAAUUUUGGGUUGAAAGAUUAAAUUACCUUAGGGAUAACAGCGUUAUUUUUUUGGAUAGUUCUUAUAAAUAAAAAAGAUUGCGACCUCGAUGUUGGAUUAAAAUAAAACUUUGGUGUAGGAGCUAAGGGAUUAAGUCUGUUCGACUUUUAAAAUUUUACAUGAUCUGAGUUAAAACCGGCGUGAGCCAGGUUGGUUUCUAUCUAUAAAUUUAGGUUUAUAUAAUAGUACGAAAGGACCUUAUAUAUCAAUUAAUUUGU
This 1210-nucleotide ribosomal RNA is filed under the name Haedus sp. RNAcentral describes it as "16S ribosomal RNA". The stretch from base 803 to 1159 matches the Rfam family "Archaeal large subunit ribosomal RNA", at positions 2150 to 2716 of the family's 2987-position model. The record is from RNAcentral. Lineage: Eukaryota; Metazoa; Arthropoda; Insecta; Hemiptera; Tingidae.